RNAcentral lists this ribosomal RNA (1637 nucleotides) under Salmonella enterica subsp. enterica serovar Paratyphi A. Its description in RNAcentral is "bacterial SSU rRNA". It matches the Rfam family "Bacterial small subunit ribosomal RNA". Lineage: Bacteria; Pseudomonadati; Pseudomonadota; Gammaproteobacteria; Enterobacterales; Enterobacteriaceae. The record is from RNAcentral.
AACACGUAAUUCAUUACGAAGUUUAAUUCAUUGAGCAUCAAACUUUUAAAUUGAAGAGUUUGAUCAUGGCUCAGAUUGAACGCUGGCGGCAGGCCUAACACAUGCAAGUCGAACGGUAACAGGAAGCAGCUUGCUGCUUUGCUGACGAGUGGCGGACGGGUGAGUAAUGUCUGGGAAACUGCCUGAUGGAGGGGGAUAACUACUGGAAACGGUGGCUAAUACCGCAUAACGUCGCAAGACCAAAGAGGGGGACCUUCGGGCCUCUUGCCAUCAGAUGUGCCCAGAUGGGAUUAGCUUGUUGGUGAGGUAACGGCUCACCAAGGCGACGAUCCCUAGCUGGUCUGAGAGGAUGACCAGCCACACUGGAACUGAGACACGGUCCAGACUCCUACGGGAGGCAGCAGUGGGGAAUAUUGCACAAUGGGCGCAAGCCUGAUGCAGCCAUGCCGCGUGUAUGAAGAAGGCCUUCGGGUUGUAAAGUACUUUCAGCGGGGAGGAAGGUGUUGUGGUUAAUAACCGCAGCAAUUGACGUUACCCGCAGAAGAAGCACCGGCUAACUCCGUGCCAGCAGCCGCGGUAAUACGGAGGGUGCAAGCGUUAAUCGGAAUUACUGGGCGUAAAGCGCACGCAGGCGGUCUGUCAAGUCGGAUGUGAAAUCCCCGGGCUCAACCUGGGAACUGCAUUCGAAACUGGCAGGCUUGAGUCUUGUAGAGGGGGGNNNNNNNNNNNNNNNNNNNNGAAAUGCGUAGAGAUCUGGAGGAAUACCGGUGGCGAAGGCGGCCCCCUGGACAAAGACUGACGCUCAGGUGCGAAAGCGUGGGGAGCAAACAGGAUUAGAUACCCUGGUAGUCCACGCCGUAAACGAUGUCUACUUGGAGGUUGUGCCCUUGAGGCGUGGCUUCCGGAGCUAACGCGUUAAGUAGACCGCCUGGGGAGUACGGCCGCAAGGUUAAAACUCAAAUGAAUUGACGGGGGCCCGCACAAGCGGUGGAGCAUGUGGUUUAAUUCGAUGCAACGCGAAGAACCUUACCUGGUCUUGACAUCCACGGAAGUUUUCAGAGAUGAGAAUGUGCCUUCGGGAACCGUGAGACAGGUGCUGCAUGGCUGUCGUCAGCUCGUGUUGUGAAAUGUUGGGUUAAGUCCCGCAACGAGCGCAACCCUUAUCCUUUGUUGCCAGCGGUCCGGCCGGGAACUCAAAGGAGACUGCCAGUGAUAAACUGGAGGAAGGUGGGGAUGACGUCAAGUCAUCAUGGCCCUUACGACCAGGGCUACACACGUGCUACAAUGGCGCAUACAAAGAGAAGCGACCUCGCGAGAGCAAGCGGACCUCAUAAAGUGCGUCGUAGUCCGGAUUGGAGUCUGCAACUCGACUCCAUGAAGUCGGAAUCGCUAGUAAUCGUGGAUCAGAAUGCCACGGUGAAUACGUUCCCGGGCCUUGUACACACCGCCCGUCACACCAUGGGAGUGGGUUGCAAAAGAAGUAGGUAGCUUAACCUUCGGGAGGGCGCUUACCACUUUGUGAUUCAUGACUGGGGUGAAGUCGUAACAAGGUAACCGUAGGGGAACCUGCGGUUGGAUCACCUCCUUACCUUAAAGAAGCGUACUUUGCAGUGCUCACACAGAUUGUCUGAUGAAAA